Molecule: ribosomal RNA, 492 nt
Filed under: uncultured bacterium
Lineage: Bacteria
Description: partial 16S ribosomal RNA
Rfam family: Bacterial small subunit ribosomal RNA
Source: RNAcentral
AGUGAACGCUGGCGGUAGGCCUAACACAUGCAAGUCGAACGGCAGCACAGUAAGAGCUUGCUCUUACGGGUGGAGAGUGGCGGACGGGUGAGGAAUACAUCGGAAUCUACUUUUUCGUGGGGGAUAACGUAGGGAAACUUACGCUAAUAUCGCAUACGACCUACGGGUGAAAUCAGGGGAUCUUCGGACCUUGCGCGAUUGAAUGAGCCGAUGUCGGAUUAGCUAGUUGGCGGGGUAAAGGCCCACCAAGGCGACGAUCCGUAGCUGGUCUGAGAGGAGGAUCGGCCACACUGGAACUGAGACACGGUCCAGACUCCUACGGGAGGCAGCAGUGGGGAAUAUUGGACAAUGGGCGCAAGCCUGAUCCAGCCAUACCGCGUGGGUGAAGAAGGCCUUCGGGUUGUAAAGCCCUUUUGUUGGGAAAGAAAAGCAGCAGGUUAAUACCCCGCUGUUCUGACGGUACCCAAAGAAUAAGCACCGGCUAACUUCGUG